AUAUUGACGAAGUUGUUAUGUAGAUAUAAGUAUUCCAAGUAUACCUUUAUCUAAAUUUCUGCCUUUCGUCAUUAGAUUGUAAGAAAUGGGUAAAUCACUAACUAUAGUAAUAAUUUAAGAAUUUCUCGCUAUUAACAAUAAUCUAAAAAUUGUACUCACAUAAUAUAAAAAAAUUAAAAAGAAGUAUUAAAUUAUGUUGGACGAGUGAUUCAGUUAUAGAAAUUCUCGUAGAGCACUAUUUUUUUUAAUUUACAUGUAUCAUUUUUAAUAUUGAAGAAAAUAUCUACUCGAAUAUUUUAUUGAAACGCUGCACUAUAUCUAUUCAGGCUCGAGUGUUUAUGAUGUUAUUUUGUAAAUAUUUCAAGUGCAGUAAAACAUUUUUUUGCGUAAUGUAAUGUUAAUCUACCGUUCAAAGACGGAACGGUUGAAUCUUGAUAUGUGUGCUAAACAAAUAUAAUUCAGUCUUACUCAGCAAAAUAUUUUCGAUGACUUGUACAACAAAAUUACUGUAAUUCAAUUUUAACGUACCUAAAUAACCAAGAAGUAUCAUAUAUUCAUGCAUAUAGAUGACUAUAUGCAAAGUAUAAUUUUUUUUAAAGUGCAAUUUAGCACUUUUAGAAGACAGUUAAAUUCAUGGUAAGUAUAUAAGGUACGUUAAGAAUACUAAAUCAUAUCUUAGUAAUAAAAAGUGUAAGACAAAUUCAGCUUCCUUCAGUUUCAAAGAAAACACAUGCUGCAAAAACAAUUUUUGAUUUAUAGGAUUUAAAAGUGAGCCCAAAAUAUAAGCAAAAUUAAAUCUAGUGUUUCCUUUGCUAAAACUAUGAUCAUCUCACGGUGUGUAACAGACUCAAGUCUCAAAUUCUCAAGUGAACAAGCAUUUAUUAUAAUUAUUAUUAUUAUUAUUAAUACAGUUUGCCGACCGUAGUAAUAAAAUUUUUAACUUCACGAGAAAAGUCACCAGGUACAAAAUUUAAUUCACUUUUUUUAUAUUACAAAAGAAAAUAAUACCACGAAAGAUAACGCACCGUUAAAUUUCUAGCAAUACUAAUAACAAAUGAAUCAUUUGUAAAAUUCUUCAAUUAUAAUUAUUCAGAUAACUACACAGUUGUCAGUUUUUAAAACCAGAAAAUAUAUUAUGUAUAGUACAUAAUAAAAAACAAGUUCGUUUGUUAAACUUUAGUUUCUGGUUUCCAGCAAUUCAAUGUAUUAUAUUUAUAUAUAUAAUGUACUUUUACACAAAAAACAGCAGAUUUUUUAGACAUCAGGCACGUAUUCACCGAAAACAUUUGAUAAGGGUGCGUUUUUUAUUUUAUUUUAUUGUAUCCUCGUCCUGGUUCUCAAAAUGGCGUCAGAAUUGUCUACAAGGACCGCAAGGCAGCACGUAAAAAGUCGAUUUUAUAACAUUAAAAAUAUUUUUCUCUUGGCGAAUCUUUUAUACGAGCGAAGCGCUUGCAGAUCUCUCAAUUAAUUCAUCAACAUAGUCAAUUACUGUCGCCAGUCUGACGCGACGCCGUUAGCAUUUUCCAUUAAGUAUAUCGUUUUAGUGAUUAUUAUUCAGCCCGUUGUAAAUGGAUCUCAGGGUUCUAUUACCGCACUUACACGGGCAUAUAUGAUUAAUACAAUACACCUAUUGACUAUCACCAGUUUGCAAAACGUUCCAUUCGCGACAGAAAAACAGAGGCCCUACACUACCUCGAUGACGGCGUUUAUUGAAAUUAAUGUGGUUAAUAAUAUUGCAACCCGGCAAAGGGUGAGCGCAUAUUGUAGGGAAAUAAGCUAUUAAGUCCCUGAAAAUGAAACAAUUAAAAUGAUUAAAUCAAUACAUUCAGUAAAACUCACCGACCAAGACACAACGACAUUCGACGAAGAACGUUUUAAAAUUAAACUGAAUUUUGUAAUAAUCUGCAAACAAAAAUUAAAAUCCACGACAAAAAGAUAUUUUAAUUUCCAAAUAAAUGAUUUUAACUAAAUUUAAUUUUGAAUUCAUUUGUAGACAUUGAAUAGCUCACAAUAUUUUCAUUUCUUUGAAAAUAAACAAGUCACUCGCAUAAAUGAGAACCAAAUUUUUUUGUCGGGGGUUUUAUGAUUUGUAGAUCUUAAUUGACCUCAGUCAUCGUAUAUUUAACAUCAAAAAUGAAAAAUUGUCAGUUACACUACAUU
This is a long non-coding RNA of Daktulosphaira vitifoliae (grape phylloxera), 2160 nucleotides long. RefSeq lists it as uncharacterized. The record is from RefSeq and is a predicted model, not a curated record. The transcript is spliced from 3 exons. NCBI's taxonomy places the organism in Eukaryota, Metazoa, Arthropoda, Insecta, Hemiptera, Phylloxeridae.